RNAcentral lists this ribosomal RNA (496 nucleotides) under uncultured bacterium. Its description in RNAcentral is "partial 16S ribosomal RNA". It matches the Rfam family "Bacterial small subunit ribosomal RNA", at positions 28 to 506 of the family's 1533-position model. The record is from RNAcentral.
GACGAACGCUGGCGGCGUGCCUAAUACAUGCAAGUUGAGCGAUGAAGAUUGGUGCUUGCACCAAUUUGAAGAGCAGCGAACGGGUGAGUAACGCGUGGGGAAUCUGCCUUUGAGCGGGGGACAACAUUUGGAAACGAAUGCUAAUACCGCAUAACAACUUUAAACAUAAGUUUUAAGUUUGAAAGAUGCAAUUGCAUCACUCAAAGAUGAUCCCGCGUUGUAUUAGCUAGUUGGUGAGGUAAAGGCUCACCAAGGCGAUGAUACAUAGCCGACCUGAGAGGGGGAUCGGCAACAUUGGGACUGAAAAACGGCCAAAACUCCUAGGGGGGGCAGAAGUAGGGAAUUUUCGGAAAUGGGCGAAAGUCUGACCGGGAAACGCCGGGGGAGGGAAAAAGGUUUUGGGAUCUAAAAACCUUGUUGGGAGAAAAAAACGGGGGGGAGGGGGGAAAGCCAAAAAAGUGACGGUAAAUACCAAAAAAGGGAAGGAUAAAUACGG